RNAcentral lists this transfer RNA (73 nucleotides) under Solivirus sp. Its description in RNAcentral is "tRNA-Arg". Lineage: Duplodnaviria; Heunggongvirae; Uroviricota; Caudoviricetes. The record is from RNAcentral.
AGCUUGCUGCAGGAUUUGCACCUGCGACCACGAUCUUAGAAGGAACGCACUCUGACUGCUGAGUUAAGCAAGC